UACGGAAGGCAGCAGUGGGGAAUAUUGCACAAUGGGCGCAAGCCUGAUGCAGCCAUGCCGCGUGUAUGAAGAAGGCCUUCGGGUUGUAAAGUACUUUCAGCGGGGAGGAAGGUGUUGUGGUUAAUAACCGCAGCAAUUGACGUUACCCGCAGAAGAAGCACCGGCUAACUCCGUGCCAGCAGCCGCGGUAAUACGGAGGGUGCAAGCGUUAAUCGGAAUUACUGGGCGUAAAGCGCACGCAGGCGGUCUGUCAAGUCGGAUGUGAAAUCCCCGGGCUCAACCUGGGAACUGCAUUCGAAACUGGCAGGCUAGAGUCUUGUAGAGGGGGUAGAAUUCCAGGUGUAGCGGUGAAAUGCGUAGAGAUCUGGAGGAAUACCGGUGCGAAGGCGGGCCCCUGGACAAGACUGACGCUCAGGUGCGAAAGCGUGGGAGCAAACAGGAUUAGGAUAACC
This 452-nucleotide ribosomal RNA is filed under the name uncultured bacterium. Its description in RNAcentral is "bacterial SSU rRNA". It matches the Rfam family "Bacterial small subunit ribosomal RNA", at positions 340 to 787 of the family's 1533-position model. The record is from RNAcentral.